GUAUACAGCCGUACCACCCUGAACACACCUGAUCUCGUCUGAGCUCGGAAACCAAGCAGGGUCGGGCCUGGUUAGUACCUGGAUGGGAGAAACAAAGCUAAAACCAGUUUUCACA
Molecule: ribosomal RNA, 115 nt
Filed under: Tursiops truncatus (common bottlenose dolphin)
Lineage: Eukaryota; Metazoa; Chordata; Mammalia; Artiodactyla; Delphinidae
Also listed under: 1 other name
Source: RNAcentral